CGGGGUGCAGCAGGCGCGAAAACUUUACAAUGCUGGCAACAGCGAUAAGGGGACCUUGAGUGCCAGGAUACAAUCCUGGCUGUCGUGAUGCCUAAAAAGCAUUAUAUAGCAAGGGCCGGGCAAGACCGGUGCCAGCCGCCGCGGUAACACCGGCGGCUCGAGUGGUAACCGCUAUUAUUGGGUCUAAAGGGUCUGUAGCCGGCUUGGUUAGUCUCUUAGGAAAUCCGGCAGCUUAACUGUCGGGCUUUCAGGAGAUACUGCCAGGCUCGAGACCGGGAGAGGUGAGAGGUACUUCAUGGGUAGGGGUGAAAUCUUGUAAUCCUUGAAGGACCACCAGUGGCGAAGGCGUCUCACCAGAACGGAUCUGACGGCAAGGGACGAAAGCUAGGGGCACGAACCGGAUUAGAUACCCGGGUAGUCCUAGCCGUAAACGAUACUCGCUAGGUGUCGGCCACGGUGCGACCGUGGUCGGUGCCGUAGGGAAGCCGUGAAGCGAGCCACCUGGGAAGUACGGCCGCAAGGCUGAAACUUAAAGGAAUUGGCGGGGGAGCACAAGGGCGAUUGCG
RNAcentral lists this ribosomal RNA (566 nucleotides) under uncultured archaeon. RNAcentral's name for it is "bacterial SSU rRNA". It matches the Rfam family "Archaeal small subunit ribosomal RNA", at positions 326 to 892 of the family's 1478-position model. The record is from RNAcentral.